GGUUCCUUAGCACAGUGGUAGUGCAUUGUACUUAUGUGGAUAAUCUAACUCUUUAUGCAAGGGUCCCGAGUUCAAUCCUCGGAGGAACCA
This is a non-coding RNA of Phellopilus nigrolimitatus, 90 nucleotides long. The record is from the annotation of a GenBank genome assembly. NCBI's taxonomy places the organism in Eukaryota, Fungi, Basidiomycota, Agaricomycetes, Hymenochaetales, Hymenochaetaceae.